CCCUUAGAUGUUCUGGGCCGCACGCGCGCUACACUGACGAAUGCAACGAGCUUAUCACCUUGGCCGAAAGGUCUGGGUAAUCUCCAAAUUUCGUCGUGAUGGGGAUAGAUUAUUGCAAUUAUUAAUCUUCAACGAGGAAUGCCUAGUAAGCGCAAGUCAUCAGCUUGCGUUGAUUACGUCCCUGCCCUUUGUACACACCGCCCGUCGCUCCUACCGAUUGAAUGGUCCGGUGAAGCGUUCGGACCGUGGCCUUUGGACGGUUCGCCGUCUGUUGGCUGCGGGAAGUUCGUUAAACCUUAUCAUUUAGAGGAAGGAGAAGUCGUANCA
This 327-nucleotide ribosomal RNA is filed under the name uncultured eukaryote. Its description in RNAcentral is "partial 18S ribosomal RNA". It matches the Rfam family "Eukaryotic small subunit ribosomal RNA", at positions 1470 to 1796 of the family's 1831-position model. The record is from RNAcentral.